This 1299-nucleotide ribosomal RNA is filed under the name uncultured Bordetella sp. RNAcentral's name for it is "partial 16S-23S ribosomal RNA intergenic spacer". It matches the Rfam family "Bacterial small subunit ribosomal RNA", at positions 156 to 1499 of the family's 1533-position model. Lineage: Bacteria; Pseudomonadati; Pseudomonadota; Betaproteobacteria; Burkholderiales; Alcaligenaceae. The record is from RNAcentral.
AGCGUAGCUAAUGCCGCAUGCGCCCCUUCGGGGGAAAGCGGGGGACCUUCGGGCCUCGCACUAUUAGAGCGGCCGAUAUCGGAUUAGCUAGUUGGUGGGUAACGGCUCACCAAGGCGACGAUCCGUAGCUGGUUUAGAGGACGACCAGCCACCUGGGACUGAGACGGCCAGACUCCUACGGGAGGCAGCAGUGGGAAUUUUGGACAAUGGGGAAACCUGAUCCAGCCAUCCCGCGUGUGCGAUGAAGGCCUUCGGGUUGUAAAGCACUUUUGGCAGGAAAGAAACGGCGGAUGUCCCGAUACAGCGUACCUGCAGAAUGACUGCGGCUAACUGCGUACCCAGCAGCCGCGGUAAUACGUAGGGUGCGUUAAAUCGAGUGCGACUCUGGCAUUUGCGCAAGCGGUUCGAAAAAAUGGCCGUCCCAAAGCUUACUUUGGAACUGCAUUUUUAACUACCGAGCUAGAGUGUCAGAGGGAGGUGGAAUUCCGCGUCGUAACGGUGAGUAAAGCAGAUAUGCGGAGGAACACCGAUGGCGAAGGCAGCCUCCUGGGAUAACACUGAUAGCUCAUGCCUUUUAGCGGUAAGGGAGCAAACAGGAUUAGAUACCCUGGUAGUCCACGCCCUAAACGAUGUCAACUAGCUGUUGGGGCCUUCGGGCCUUGGUAGCGCAACUAACGCGUGAAGUUGACCGCCUAGAGUACGGUCGCAAGAUUAAAACUCAAGAUUGACGGGGACCCGCACAAGCGGUGGAUGAUGUGGAUUAAUUCGAUGCAACGCGAAAAACCUUACCUACCCUUGACAUGUCUGGAAUCCCGAAGAGAUUUGGGAGUGCUCGCAGAGAACCGGAACACAGGUGCUGCAUGGCUGUCGUCAGCUCGUGUCGUGAGAUGUUGGGUUGGGGUCCCGCAGCGAGCGCAACCCUUGUCAUUAGUUGCUACGAAAGGGCACUCUAAUGAGACUGCCGGUGACAAACCGGAGGAAGGUGGGGAUGACGUCAAGUCCUCAUGGCCCUUAUGGGUAGGGCUUCACACGUCAUACAAUGGUCGGGACAGAGGGUCGCCAACCCGCGAGGAGGCCAGCUCGAAACCCGAUCGUAGUCCGGAUCGCAGUCUGCAGCUCGACUGCGUGAAGUCGGAAUCGCUAGUAAUCGCGGAUCCAGCAUGUCGCGGUGAAUACGUUCCGGGUCUUGUACACACCGCCCGUCACACCAUGGGGUGGGUUUUUACCAGAAGUAGUUAGCCUAACCGUAAGGGCGAUUACAGUAGGAUUCAUGACUGGGGUGAAGUCGUAACAAGGUAA